RNAcentral lists this transfer RNA (67 nucleotides) under Periphyllus acerihabitans. Its description in RNAcentral is "tRNA-Arg". Lineage: Eukaryota; Metazoa; Arthropoda; Insecta; Hemiptera; Aphididae. The record is from RNAcentral.
AAAUAAGAAGUAAUAAUUUACAUAUUAAUUUCGACUUAAUAAUUGAUAAUAUAAUUAUCCUUAUUUU